GUGCUCACCUCCACAGCACAUAUACUAAAUUGGAAGGAUACAGAGAAGAUUAGCAUGGACCCCGUGAAAGGAUGCCGUGCAAAUUCACGAAGUAUUCUGUACUAUU
Peromyscus eremicus (cactus mouse) is the source of this 106-nucleotide small nuclear RNA. The record is from RefSeq and is a predicted model, not a curated record. Lineage: Eukaryota; Metazoa; Chordata; Mammalia; Rodentia; Cricetidae.